CCUGGCUCAGAACGAACGCUGGCGGCGCGUUUUAAGCAUGCAAGUCGAACGGGAACCUGAGUGCUUGCACUUGGGGGAGAGUGGCGAACGGGUGAGUAACACGUAGGUGAUCUAUCUUAAGAUUGGGGAUAGCCCAUGGAAACAUGGGGUAAUACCGGAUGAGCCCUGCUAUCGUAAGAGGUGGCAGGGGAAAGGCCCUUAGGGGUUGUCUUAAGCUGAGCCUGCGGCUCAUUAGUUAGUUGGUGGGGUAACGGCCUACCAAGGCGACGAUGAGUAGCCGGCCUGAGAGGGUGACCGGCCACACUGGGACUGAGACACGGCCCAGACUUCUACGGAAGGCAGCAGCUAAGAAUCUUCCGCAAUGGGCGAAAGCCUGACGGAGCGACGCCGCGUGAACGAAGAAGGCCGGAAGGUUGUAAAGUUCUUUUCUCGGGGGAGAAUAACCUUAGGAGGGAAUGCCUGAGGGAUGACAUGAACCGAGGAAUAAGCUACGGCUAAUUACGUGCCAGCAGCCGCGGUAACACGUAAGUGGCAAGCGUUGUUCGGAAUUAUUGGGCGUAAAGGGCGCGUAGGCGGCCAUGCAAGCCUGGUGUGAAAUCUCCCAGCUCAACUGGGAAUGCGCGCUGGGAACUGUGUGGCUAGAGUUUAGGAGGGGGAGCUGGAAUUCCUGGUGUAGGGGUGAAAUCUGUAGAUAUCAGGAAGAACACCGGUGGCGAAGGCGAGCUCCUGGCCAUAGACUGACGCUGAGGCGCGAAAGCGUGGGGAGCGAACAGGAUUAGAUACCUUGGUAGUCCACGCUGUAAACGAUGUGCACUAGGUGUAGGUUGGUAUGACAAUCUGUGCCGGAGCGAACGCGUUAAGUGCACCGCCUGGGGAGUAUGCUCGCAAGGGUGAAACUCAAAGGAAUUGACGGGGGCCCGCACAAGCGGUGGAGCAUGUGGUUUAAUUCGAUGAUACGCGAGAAACCCUACCAGGGCUUGACAUCUACGCCGAGACGGAAGAGAUUUCGUUGCCCCUUUUGGGGGGCGUAGACAGGUGCUGCAUGGCUGUCGUCAGCUCGUGCUGUGAAGUGUUGGGUUAAGUCCCGCAACGAGCGCAACCCCUGCUGUCUGUUGCCAGCAAGUAAUGUUGGGGACUCAGGCGGUACUGCCGGUGACAAACCGGAGGAAGGUGGGGACGACGUCAAGUCAUCAUGGCCCUUAUGUCCUGGGCUACACACGUGCUACAAUGGUCGGUACAGAGUGAUGCAAGACCGCGAGGUGGAGCAAAUCGCAGAAAGCCGGUCUCAGUACAGAUUGGAGUCUGAAACUCGACUUCAUGAAGGUGGAAUCGCUAGUAAUCGCGCAUCAGCAUGGCGCGGUGAAUACGUUCCCGGGCCUUGUACACACCGCCCGUCACACCACCCGAGUUGGGGGUACCCGAAGUCGCUAGUCUAACCAGCAAUGGGGGACGGUGCCGAAGUAUGCCUGUAAGGGGG
This 1477-nucleotide ribosomal RNA is filed under the name uncultured organism. RNAcentral describes it as "bacterial SSU rRNA". It matches the Rfam family "Bacterial small subunit ribosomal RNA". The record is from RNAcentral.